This is a long non-coding RNA of Solanum stenotomum, 781 nucleotides long. RefSeq lists it as uncharacterized. The record is from RefSeq and is a predicted model, not a curated record. The transcript is spliced from 2 exons. NCBI's taxonomy places the organism in Eukaryota, Viridiplantae, Streptophyta, Magnoliopsida, Solanales, Solanaceae.
CCUACUCUUUUCUUCACGCCCAAAACAUACGCACAGAAGCUCACACAGCAACCGACAGCACAACUCAACCAACUGAAACGCAGCACGAACCCUCACCUUUCUCACGUUGUUGCCUCUCUCCCUCACUUUUUCCCUUUUCUCCCUCAAAUUCGUACAAUCAGCAUGCUUCGCACGAGGUUGAGGACACCUCGAACCUUUUGAAAAAUCGUCCAGGUGUGAUUCUCUCGUUUGCUCGAUUUAAACUCAAUUCAAAUCGACUGGAUUAGUACGAUUUCGUACCCAUCCAGUUGGUACUCAGGGAUUUUUGAAAAGUUUCCAAUUCCCACGUCGUUUCCCCCUCAAAUUGACCCAGAAACUGUCUGAUAUAAACCCGUCCCUCUUACUGUUCAUUCACGGUUUAGAUUUCUUGUUUUAAUGGCUGAAACCUGGUUGUUUUUGCGGUUAUUUCAAGUCGAAGUUGGUGGUGGAAUCGGCUUCUCAACUUGUGGUUUUAGUUCACUGAAAGACACAGGUAACUAGGAUCGGCAUUUCAACGCACCGUUGAUCCAGUGAGCAGUUCAGAGUCAGUCGGUGAGCCUCCUUGCAUUCCGGAGGAUCUAUUUUCAUUGCUUUCUAGUUUAAUCCAUUAGGAUGUUGUGGGGUUUGUCCCAACAUCCAUUUCAGUUGUUUUAGAGGCUUCAUAGACAGACAGUCAGUUGGUUUUUUUCAGUUGUCUUUACUCUUCAUUCUUAUGUUAAAGACUUAAGUUUGCCUAAAUGGCCAAUUGAAUGUUACUUUAUGA